This 122-nucleotide unclassified non-coding RNA is filed under the name uncultured Basidiomycota. RNAcentral's name for it is "sequence contains ITS1". Lineage: Eukaryota; Fungi; Basidiomycota. The record is from RNAcentral.
CAAAUCUUUGGAGGCUGGCUGCUGUGCAAACAGUGUGCUGGUUUCACAUUAGCACAAGGUCGCAAGGCCUUGAUGUUUACGCUUGUAUGUUUGACAAAUUUAGAUGAGAAUAUAAAUAAAGA